RNAcentral lists this ribosomal RNA (441 nucleotides) under uncultured bacterium. Its description in RNAcentral is "partial 16S ribosomal RNA". It matches the Rfam family "Bacterial small subunit ribosomal RNA", at positions 338 to 795 of the family's 1533-position model. The record is from RNAcentral.
CCUACGGGUGGCAGCAGUGGGGAAUAUUGCACAAUGGGGGAAACCCUGAUGCAGCAACGCCGCGUGAAGGAAGACGGCUUUCGGAUUGUAAACUUCUGUUCUUAGUGAAGAAUAAUGACGGUAGCUAAGGACCAAGCAACUGCUAACUACGUGACAGCAGCCGCGGUAAUACGUAGGUGGCAAGCGUUGUCCGGAAUUACUGGGUGUAAAGGGAGCGAAGGCGGGAAGCCAAGUCAGCUGUGAAAAUUACGGGCUUAACUUGUAGAUUGCAGUUGAAACUGGUUUUCGUGAGUGAAGUAGAGGUUGGCGGAAUUCGUGGUGUAGCGGUGAAAUGCGUAGAUAUUCGGAGGAACACCGGUGGCGAAGGCGGCCAACUGGGCUUUAACUGACGCUGAGGCUCGAAAGUGUGGGGAGCAAACAGGAUUAGAUACCCGAGUAGUC